Molecule: non-coding RNA, 2688 nt
Organism: Struthio camelus australis
Lineage: Eukaryota; Metazoa; Chordata; Aves; Struthioniformes; Struthionidae
Source: RefSeq, a predicted model, not a curated record
AAAAGACAAUUGCAGGUAACAAGAGUUACCGCGCAGCACACAAUCGCUCUACAAAGAUCUUCUGGUCUGUAGUAGGUUGAUGAAGGCUACUUUCACGCUGGAGUUAUUUACAUAACGCUGAAGAGGUGCGCUAAGUAGUUUUGGUAUUAGAAUGAUGUAAUUGUUAACAUAGUUUAUUUCUGAAGCUAUCUGUGACUCUGUGGAUGAAUUUUGUGGCUAUGAACAACUGCAAGAAAUCUGUGAAAACUAAAAUCAUUUAAUGUCUGCAUUUAUAGAACAGGGUCAAGAUUAACCAUAGCAGCAACAAAGACAAUGCAGAAGCAUUCAGUAACAACAAUGAGCUAUUAAAGAUUUUGGUAGAAGCCUGGGUGUGGAACUGAAUCUCUAGGGUAAGUAUAUCAGGUGGCUGGCUUUGCUAAAGUGACUAGUCUGCUGAAAUCAAUAGUUUUGUUUCAGCUACCAGGAGUCUGGUUUUAUUACAGAAGUUCUUUUCCGCUGCAAAAAUGUAUUAAAUGUUUUCAACUGCCUGCAUGUGACUCUGCAAACAGUUAAAUGCACAAUUUUACUUGCAGAAGUAAUUUCAUUGUCAUUUUGUUCCUAAGCACACUAAAAACUAAUGCAGAAAGAAAACUCUCACAAAACUUUCUCCUCUAGCAUCUAGCUUAAGCUCCCUCAUCCUUGCUCCUUUCUGCAUGUUACAAGUCUCCCUCUCAUACAAAUCAUUCUUCAGUUAGAACAAAUUCUGAACUAAAAAAGCACUCAUCAAUAGCUUUUAAAAAAGUACUUAGCUAGAAAAAAGCCACUAAAACAACAAUAUACGUUUGAUGCCUAAAUUUUUUACAGAGGGGAAUCUGGUACUAAGUGUUACUUUAAAAACUCUCUUCAAAUAAAUAUGGAAUAGUCAAUCUUUUGAGUGCAAAACUGCUUGCUCUUAAAUUGUUCAUGGAGCAGUCUCCCCAGGUAUAUACUUUAAAAAUCAGCUGGAUCCCCUGCAAGAGGCAUUUUCUUUGCAGUGCUAGCUUUCUUCACUGCUUUCAUGAAUUUUGGUGAUAUUAUCUAGAAAAGGCAUGAUAACAUUAAUCAUUGUGAAGAGAGGCCUAAAGCUGCAACUGCUUGUUUCACUAUCCCGAAUUUAACAGUAGCACGAUCAAUACCUGCCAUAUAUUCCAAAUACUGUGGUAAAAAAAGGGUAUGAAGUAUUCUUCUGUAUUCCAUUGUAUUAAGCAAAGAAGUGUAUGCUGUUUGACCAGACAGCUUGGUCAACCAGUUCUGGGGACAGUUCAGCAAUGCAAGCCCUGCUAAAACAAUGCCAUUUUAGCCAGUCUGGAAUAUAGCAUGUCAGACUUCAAGAGCAUAUUCACUUGGAUCCAGAUACCCUAGCUGGCUUUGAAAAUUCAUUAUUAUUAACAUACUAAUAACUAUGCUGUUAAUAGGCUUACAGUCCCUUCCAGAACUGUAACCAGCUCAGGCUUUCCAGGACCAGUAGAGAGCACAAUUUAACAAAGCUUCAUAGACACUAGCUGAGUCUGUGCAAUUCAUGUGUCUUGUAAUGAACAGAGAGAAACUAUAUUUCAGUGGCAGUUUUAUCUAUUCAAAGUAAUGCAAAAGCUUCUGCUGAUUGAGGUGAGCUUCUUCUAGGCCCACCCUGAUGUUAUAGAAGGGACUACCUGUGACGCAGUACAUUUAAUGAAGAAAGAUAUUCGGGAUUGACUGAAUGCAAACUCUUGCUUUUACAGGCAAACACUUUGUACAAUUCCCCUUUAAAAAACAGAAAAACCCGGAAGCUAGCUUGGAUUUUUGCUCUUACAACUUCUGCUGGGGAGGCUGCUCCGCAAAGUUCCUGCUCAGCAUUGCCAUGCUGUCCUUCCUCCCAGUGUACAGAUACGACUGAGAUCAGUUAGUACCUGUUAAGUGGGGAAGCAAACACAUCCCAGUUUCACAGACGGAGACCAAACCAAGUGGUACUUAAUACAAUGUAAUGGAAGAUACCCAGAGAACAACGCUUUUCAUUGUGGAUCAGUCACUUCCCAGCUUUUUGUAACAAAUACAAAAUGGGCAUGUAACGAACAACAAAUGAACAAAAGAACUGUACUCAUCGGCAAGCAUUUAUAUCCACAGCACACUUCAACCUACAAUGCAAAUGAAAUUCUCACAACACUCACAUACCAUCAAAGAGCUAUGCUUGAAAAGGAUUCCUGCUCUUGAGUGUGUGUGGCACCUACUAUCAAUGAUGAGAGUGAGAGCCACAUGUUUAAACUUUUUCUCUUAACCUCAGCAUUCUGUGAUCAUUUCCACAGCUUUGCUUAUUUAUCAUUUUGCUUCAUAAACACUAACAGUUGCAUUAUACUGCUAUUCUAUUUUCUUACUUUUAUGAGUCCAGGAAUUUAUAAGAAAAUAAACUUUAAAACUAAUUUACAAUAGUCAGUGAGCAAUUUUGUAGGCAUUUUUCCAUGACUGUUGUACAAGGCUGAGUUAACAGUGGAACUAUAUUUAGCAGAAUAACAGUGUAAUUCUAUUUUCAUUUCACUUGCUAGCAUUACCUUUGCAAAACUGCAUUAUCACACUGUUUGCUUUAUAAAUCCAUUCUCAGUCUCUAAAUCACCAACACAAACUAUAUAUUUGAGAUUCUUCUAGAAGGCUCUGGUUAUUAGAAGUACAUGUGUUCUCCCAUGGCCACUUCUGAUAACC